UUAGGAAGUGUUCUUAGGCAAAUCCGGGAGCACAAUUCCGAGACGUGAUGACGAGUCCCUUUUAGGGGCGAAGUAAUCGAUGCCAUGCUCCCAGGAAAAGCCUCUAAGCUUCAGGUAGUAAGUGACCGUACCGUAAACCGACACAGGUGGGUGAGGAGAGAAUCCUAAGGCGCUUGAGAGAACUCGGGUGAAGGAACUCUGCAAAUUAGUACCGUAACUUCGGGAGAAGGUACGCCCGCAUUGGUGAAGAACUUCGCGUUCGGAGCUGAUACGGGCCUCAGAAAAUAGGUGGCUGCGACUGUUUACUAAAAACACAGCACUCUGCGAACUCGUAAGAGGAAGUAUAGGGUGUGACGCCUGCCCGGUGCCGGAAGGUUAAUUGAUGGGGUUAGCUCUUCGGAGCGAAGCUCUUGAUCGAAGCCCCGGUAGACGGCGGCCGUAACGAUAACGGUCCUAAGGUAGCGAAAUUCCUUGUCGGGUAAGUUCCGACCUGCACGAAUGGCGUAACGAUGGCCACACUGUCUCCAUCCGAGACUCAGUGAAGUUGAAAUCGCUGUGAAGAUGCAGUGUACCCGCGGCUAGACGGAAAGACCCCGUGAACCUUUACUAUAGCUUUGCACUGAAUUUUGAACUUGUCUGUGUAGGAUAGGUGGGAGGCUUUGAAGCGGAGACGCUAGUCUUCGUGGAGCCAACCUUGAAAUACCACCCUGGCACGUUUGGAGUUCUAACCUAGGCCCGUUAUCCGGGUCGGGGACAGUGCAUGGUGGGUAGUUUGACUGGGGCGGUCUCCUCCCAAAGAGUAACGGAGGAGCACAAAGGUACCCUCAGCGCGGUCGGACAUCGCGCAUUGAGUGCAAAGGCACAAGGGUGCUUGACUGCGAGACAGACAAGUCGAGCAGGGACGAAAGUCGGUCUUAGUGAUCCGGUGGUUCUGUAUGGAAGGGCCAUCGCUCAACGGAUAAAAGGUACUCCGGGGAUAACAGGCUGAUUCCUCCCAAGAGUCCACAUCGACGGAGGAGUUUGGCACCUCGAUGUCGGCUCAUCACAUCCUGGGGCUGUAGCAGGUCCCAAGGGUUCGGCUGUUCGCCGAUUAAAGUGGUACGCGAGCUGGGUUUAGAACGUCGUGAGACAGUUCGGUCCCUAUCUGCCGUGGGCGUUGGAAAUUUGAGGGGAGCUGCUCCUAGUACGAGAGGACCGGAGUGGACGUACCUCUGGUGUUCCGGUUGUCACGCCAGUGGCACCGCCGGGUAGCUACGUACGGAAGGGAUAACCGCUGAAAGCAUCUAAGCGGGAAGCCUACCCCAAGAUUAGAUUUCCCUGGGGACUCGAUCCCCCUAAAGGGCCCUCGUAGACUACGAGGUUGAUAGGCUGGGUGUGGAAGUCCAGUAAUGGAUGAAGCUAACCAGUACUAAUUGCCCGUGAGGCUUGAC
Molecule: ribosomal RNA, 1430 nt
Filed under: metagenome
Description: bacterial LSU rRNA
Rfam family: Bacterial large subunit ribosomal RNA
Source: RNAcentral